Aplysia californica (California sea hare) is the source of this 321-nucleotide long non-coding RNA. RefSeq lists it as uncharacterized. NCBI's taxonomy places the organism in Eukaryota, Metazoa, Mollusca, Gastropoda, Aplysiida, Aplysiidae. The transcript is spliced from 3 exons. The record is from RefSeq and is a predicted model, not a curated record.
CAAACUUGUGUCGUAGUUCUCACGUCCUUUGCCUCAUCUAGUGCUAUAUAAACCCCGCUGUUUCGGCAGAGGUGACAACAGAUCUGACUGCAGUGUAAGUUGAUCACUUACUGUUGAAUAUACAGCCGGCACAAUGCUCACAGUCUGCCUUUUCAUAACCCUGCUCGGGGUUGUUCCAGCAAUUUGUGAACAACAACAUGUACCUGGAUUCCAGUACACGCAAGAUCCUGACAUCGAUGUCAACGACGAAGGACCCAUGUUCUCCCCGGCCAACUACAAGUUCACAGUGAUGGAAGACACUCCAGUGGGAUCAUUUAUUGG